This 391-nucleotide long non-coding RNA is filed under the name Homo sapiens (human). RNAcentral describes it as "non-protein coding lnc-ALX4-16:1". The record is from RNAcentral. Lineage: Eukaryota; Metazoa; Chordata; Mammalia; Primates; Hominidae.
CCGGAAGCGGAACUUCUGCCCCCCAGCGCCACUGCCAUGGACCGUUGCCUGUCACCUCCUGAUUUUCACUUCAGUGAUUCUUACAGCAACAGAAGGUGGAGGCUGUGUUUAUAUUGGAGGGAGGAGGCUGUGUUUAUAUUGAAGGAAAUGGAAGUUACCAUCGCGGUUUCAUUAAAACGGAAUUGUUUUCCUUUUAGUCUUUCUGACUGGCUAUGAACUCUUUUCCUACGUCCACUUAAAAGACCAUGGGAGAGCUCUGACUGGCACAUUAUCAGAAGAGCAGAAAAUGCAACAGAUUGAAGCCCCCAAAUCCUCCUGCUUCAAGGCUCCCCACAAAGCAGAUGAUUGCUUGAAAGAUUUCCCUGAGAUUUUAGCUUAGAUACCUCGAGAG